This 279-nucleotide ribosomal RNA is filed under the name uncultured bacterium. RNAcentral describes it as "partial 16S ribosomal RNA". It matches the Rfam family "Bacterial small subunit ribosomal RNA", at positions 506 to 784 of the family's 1533-position model. The record is from RNAcentral.
UGCCAGCAGCCGCGGUAAUACGGAGGGAGUUAGCGUUGUUCGGAAUUACUGGGCGUAAAGCGCGCGUAGGCGGAUUGGAAAGUUAGGGGUGAAAUCCCAAGGCUCAACCUUGGAACUGCAUUUGAAACUGGGAAUCUAGAGAUCAGGAGAGGUUAGUGGAAUACCGAGUGUAGAGGUGAAAUUCGUAGAUAUUCGGUGGAACACCAGUGGCGAAGGCGGCUCACUGGCUCGAUACUGACGCUGAGGUGCGAAAGUGUGGGGAGCAAACAGGAUUAGAUA